GUUUGAAGCAUGUUCAUGAUUAAAUCUGUAUGCUGGCUUAUAUGAGUGACUGCUCUCUGAUUGCGUUUUCCUCAGUCCUAGUUCUUCCUCUUCUUCUUCUUUUUUUUUUUUCUUUUCUUUUUUCUUCCCUUUCCUUCCUUUCUUUUUGGUUUAGAGAAGCCCUUUCAAUAUUUCCUUUAACCUGGGUUUUGUGUUGCUGUAUUCUUUAAGUUUUUGUUUGUUGGGAAAAAUUUUUAUUUCCCCUUCUAUUUUAAAUGAUAUUCUUGCUGGAUAGAGUAUUCUAGGUUGCAUAUUUUUUCCUUUGAGCACUUUAAAUAUCUCUUGCCAUUCCCUCCUGGCCUGUAGUGUUUCUGUAGAGAAAUCAGCUGAUAUUCUUAUGGGGGUUCCCUAGUAGGUAACAUUCUGUUUUUCUCUUGCUGCCUUUAGGAUCCUCUCUUUAUUACUAACUUUUGCCAUUUUUAUUAUGAUGUGUCUUGGUGUGGGUCUGUUUGGGUUCAGUUUGUUUGGGGCCCUCUGUGCUUCUUGUAUCUUGAACCCAGUAUCCUUUAGAUUUGGGAAGUUUCCAUCGAUAAUUUCUUCAAAUAUAUUUUCCAUCCCCUUUUCUUUUUCUACUCCUUCUGGAAUUCCUAUUAUGUAUAGAUUGGCCUGCUUUAUAUUAUCCCAUAGGUCUCUUAUAUUGCUUUCCAGUUUUUUGUUCGGUUUUCUGUCUGUUGACCGGAUUGAGUGAUUUCCAUUAUUCUAUCUUCCAUAUCACUGAUUCAUUCUUCUGCAUUAUUCAUUCUGGUUUUUACUGCCCCUAGUUCAGUUUGCAUCUCUGCAAAUGAAUGUUCUAGUUUUUCUUGGCUCCUCCUUAUAUUUUCUAGCUCCUUUCUGAGGGUAUCUGCAUUACUGUUCAUAUCUUCUCUUAAUUCCUUCAGUAUUUUCACGAUUUCUCUUUUGAACUCCAGGUCUGUCUGACUGCAGAGAUCUGUUUCAUUGCUGACUGUUUUAGGUGAGUUCUCCUGUUGGUUUGACUGGGGGUGGUUUCUCAGCUUCUUCAUCUUGCUUGUUGUUUUCUUUCUCCUGAGGGAGUUGUACUCUCCGUUAUCGGGCAGUGUUUGCCUUGUCACUGCCGUGGAAUAUUUCCUGAGGGCUGGCAUUGUUGGUCAAUCUUUUUUGAGGCAGUGUGGCUUCUCUGGAGUGUUAAUGGGGCUAACAGUGUUUCUUUGAAGCAAAGGAGGACUUCCUGAGGGCAGACAGGACUGGGAGGUCCACACCACGAUGGUAGCAGAUUUCACUUGGUCAUGCAGAGCUUGCUCUGGUGUUUUUAGGCUGUGGGGUUCUUGCAGGGGGUUGGCGGUGUUGGGCAGCUGCUCUUCAGGGGGGCAUCACCCCCUGGGGGCUGGGGCAGCUAUCUGGGUCACUGAGAACCUAAGAGGCUCUUCCCUAGGGCAGCCCAACUCAGAAGGACAGCCUGAGAAUGUAGGCGGAUCUUUUCACAGUCUGGCCGAGCUUGUUGCAGCUUUUCUGGGCUGCAGGGGCUCUUCCAGGGGGCUGGUGGUGCUGAGCAGCUAUUCCUCGUGAGUGGGGCACCCCCUGGGGGCUUGGGCGGGUAGCAGGGCCCUUGGAGACUCAAGAGGCUCCUCCCCAGGGCAGCCCGACUCAGAAAGACCGUCUGAGAUCUUUUCCCGACUCGGCCAGGCUUGUUGCAGCUUUUCUGGGCUGCAGGGGGUCCUGCCUGGAGCUGGCAGUCCUAUGCAGCUGGUCCACUAGGUCUUAGCACCCCCUGGGGUCUUGGGCGGGUAGCAAGGCCCUUGGAGACCCAAGAGGCUCCUCCCCGGGGGAGCCCGUCUCAGAAAAACCGUCGGAGAAUUAGGUCGAUCUAUUCACGGCCUGGCUAGGCUUGUUCUAGCUUUUCUGGGCUGCAGGCCUUUUCUAGGGGGCUGGUGGUGUUUGGUGCUGCUCUGUGGAAGUGUAGCCCCUCCAAAGGGCAAGCAGGCCUGUGCAGGGAGAGCCCCUGCGGUGGUAGGCUUCAGGCAAUUGUUGAGGCCAGCCCUCCUGGAUGGCAGUCAGCCCCAGGUUCCGCGAGAGCGUAGGGGGUGGCGGGGGUGGGGGGAGGGAAUGCACUGGGAAGCACAGCUUUCUGCUAGCUAGCGGGCCUGUAAGCUUGCUGUGGCGUGGGGGGUAUUCUAUGGGAACCCACCCCUUCUUUUCUCCGCUCCCCAGCAUGGGCGCAGACCAGGCUCUUCUCCCAGGUUCCCUCUGAGGCGGCUUUCCACUUCCCCGCCCCUAGAGUAUUGCUCCCUUCCUCUGCGACAGCUUUGUUUUCUAGUCUCCCAGGCAGUCUCUGCCCCGUCAAAUGGUUUAGAGACCUCCCAAGCAGUUUCCGCUCUUCCCCGCCCCCCUAGCCCGGGGACUAAUCUCUGGAGCCGAGGUCUCGG
RNAcentral lists this long non-coding RNA (2420 nucleotides) under Sus scrofa (pig). RNAcentral's name for it is "lncRNA (ENSSSCG00000057297.1)". Lineage: Eukaryota; Metazoa; Chordata; Mammalia; Artiodactyla; Suidae. The record is from RNAcentral.